UACAGAGGUCUCAAGCGUUGUUCGGAUUCAUUGGGCGUAAAGGGUGCGUAGGCGGCGCGGUAAGUCGGGUGUGAAAUCUUGGAGCUUAACUCCGAAACUGCAUUCGAUACCGCCGUGCUUGAGGACUGGAGAGGAGACUGGAAUUUACGGUGUAGCGGUGAAAUGCGUAGAUAUCGUAAGGAAGACCAGUGGCGAAGGCGGGUCUCUGGACAGUUCCUGACGCUGAGGCACGAAGGUCAGGGGAGCAAACGGG
This 253-nucleotide ribosomal RNA is filed under the name uncultured bacterium. RNAcentral's name for it is "partial 16S ribosomal RNA". It matches the Rfam family "Bacterial small subunit ribosomal RNA", at positions 524 to 776 of the family's 1533-position model. The record is from RNAcentral.